CUGACGGCCUCCAACCACGUGAGCAACGUCACCGUGAACUACAACGUCACCGUGGAGCGGAUGAACAGGAUGCAGGGCCUGCGGGUCUCCACAGUGCCGGCCGUGCUGUGCCCCAAUGCCACGCUGGCACUGACGGCGGGCGUGCUGGUGGACUCGGCCGUGGAGGUGGCCUUCCUGUGGACAUUUGGGGAUGGGGAGCAGGCCCUCCACCAGUUCCAGCCUCCGUACAACAAGUCCUUCCCGGUUCCAGACCCCUCGGUGGCCCAGGUGCUGGUGGAGCACAACGUCACGCACACCUACGCUGCCCCAG
Molecule: small RNA, 310 nt
Filed under: Pongo abelii (Sumatran orangutan)
Lineage: Eukaryota; Metazoa; Chordata; Mammalia; Primates; Hominidae
Description: retained intron
Source: RNAcentral